RNAcentral lists this long non-coding RNA (1342 nucleotides) under Homo sapiens (human). RNAcentral describes it as "long independently transcribed non-coding RNA 2074 (LINC02074)". Lineage: Eukaryota; Metazoa; Chordata; Mammalia; Primates; Hominidae. The record is from RNAcentral.
GGUAGCAACCCGUUUGGUUAUCUUUCUGUGCUGUGGAAGGUUUGUUCUUUCACUCUGCACUAUUUUGCAAUAAAUAUUGCUAUUGCUCACUUUGGGUUUAUAUUGCCUUUAUGAGCUGUAACACUCACCAUGAAGGUCUGCAGCUUUACUCUUGAAGCUUAGCGAGACCACUAACCCACCAGAAGGAAGAAACUCCGGACACGCCGCCUUUAAGAACUGUAAUACUCAGUGCGAGGGUUCACGGCUUCAUUCUUGAGAAAGACAACGAGGAGGGAGCAGCUAGAGGGGUGGAAAUGGGAUCACGUGACCUUGCGAGAAGCAGGGAGAGAGAACACUGCGUCUGCUCCCUUUUAGAACAGACCACGUUCUAGAAUUGUAGAAUCCUGGCAAGAAAAAGGCAGCUCGUCCAGCCUUCUGUCCAGUGGAACAGCCCCAGCCAGAGCAACUGACAGAUGCUCAAUAUAGGGAAUCCCUAACAGAGGACUUCCAGGAUAUCCUAGGGACAGCAGAGCCUCAAGAUCCAGGGAGGAUCCUGGAUACCUGAGUCACCACUUGGAGGGGAAUCUCCUGGAAGAACUGAUUGAUCAGCAACAUCUACAUUCAACUUGAGGUUGUUCCGUAAGACAGGAUGGCACAGAGCUUUAAGCAACAGCUCUGGCAUCUGACUUCCGUGUUUGCAUCUGGCUUUGAGUGUGACUUUGGACAAGUUCCUUAGCUGGCCAGAUACUCUUGUCCUCAUCCAUAAGAUGGAGCAACAACGAAGCCUUUCUCAUAGGUUAUUGUGAGGAUUGAAUGAAUUAGUAUAUGCCAAGCAUUUGAAGCAGUGCCUGACAUGUAGUAGAUGCUGAGUAACACUGGGGAUCUGCCUUUUCUUUUUCCUCUAUGUGACUGGCAGCCUUAGCCAGACCACAUCAGCUGAGAUGAUUUUCUCUGUAAGUUACCAGGAUCACCUAGAUCUGGCCAAGGACUUGCCCCUGUAAGGAAAUUUGGAAUAAGCAAAAAAGAUCACUAGGUGUCGCCGAUGGAAAACUAGGUUGUUUUGAGCAUACCUUUGCAUGUUAUCUGAUUUUAGCCUUUCAGGGUCUUUGAGCUAUUUUAUGGCUCUGUAGGUUGUACAUAACUGAUAGCAAUGCAAAAUAAUUCUUGUCUAUAGACAUGCAAAUAAAUCCUGUCCAGCGGUUCAAUUGACUACCCUCUUCCCUAAGGAAAAAGCCAGUUUCAGUCUAUUUGUAAAUUCAUUUCCACUUUCCUUACUCCCUAUAAAUUUCUGCUUUUCAGAUUUCUCCUUUGUUAACGUCUGCCUGGUUCCCUCAUUAAGUCAAAUAAAAUCUUUAACACGUUA